Molecule: ribosomal RNA, 253 nt
Filed under: uncultured bacterium
Lineage: Bacteria
Description: partial 16S ribosomal RNA
Rfam family: Bacterial small subunit ribosomal RNA
Source: RNAcentral
UACGGAGGGCGCGAGCGUUGUCCGGAUUUAUUGGGUUUAAAGGGUGCGUAGGCGGUCUUUUAAGUCAGUGCUGAAAUAUCCCGGCUUAACCGGGAGGGUGGCAUUGAUACUGAAGGACUUGAGUUCAGUCGAGGUAGGCGGAAUUGACGGUGUAGCGGUGAAAUGCUUAGAUAUCGUCAAGAACACCGAUAGUGUAGACAGCUUACUAGGCUGAAACUGACGCUGAGGCACGAAAGUGUGGGGAUCAAACAGG